This 24-nucleotide non-coding RNA is filed under the name Arabidopsis thaliana (thale cress). Lineage: Eukaryota; Viridiplantae; Streptophyta; Magnoliopsida; Brassicales; Brassicaceae. The record is from RNAcentral.
AAGAAGGUAUCUCACUGAUGGAGA